This 61-nucleotide transfer RNA is filed under the name Nerodia clarkii compressicauda. Its description in RNAcentral is "tRNA-Leu". The record is from RNAcentral. Lineage: Eukaryota; Metazoa; Chordata; Lepidosauria; Squamata; Natricidae.
UCUACCAAAGGAUAAUAGUAUUCCACUGGUCUUAGCACCAAAAUCCUUGGUGCAAAUCCAA